AUUCAAAACAUCUGGGGCUGCACGGUGGCUCAUGCCUGUAAUCCCAGCAGUUUGGGAGGUCAACAUGGGUGAAUCACUUGAGGUCAGAAGUUUGGGACCAGCCCAGCCAAUGUGGCCCUGAUCAGGAAGUGAAGACAACAUGACUGUGGAGAAGAGAGCCGGGAAGGGAAGAAGCUCAAUAAUGAGUGCAUUCUAGGCCAGCUUCCCCAAUGCAAAGGAUCCAGUGGAGGUCUCUGAGGCCCUGGGAGAUGGUAGAGCCACACCAUGAAGGUGCCUGGGUCCCUGAAUGACUGCAUGGAGCUCACUCUACAUUGGACUGUGACACAAGCAAGAAAGGUAGACACUUAGGAGUGGAAUUGCUGAGUCAUACAGUAAUUCUAUGUUUAACAUUUUGAGGAGCUGCCAAACUGUUUCCAAAAUGGCUGCAACAUUCUAUAUUUCCAUCAGCAAGAAGGGCCCAUGUGGCAAGGAACUAAGGGCAGUCUCUGGCCAAAAGCCCACAAGUAACUGAAUUCUGCCAAUAACCAUGAGUUUGGAAGUGGAUCCUUCCCCAUUCGAGUCUCAGAUGAGUCCCCAGCCCUGGCCAACAUCUUCAUGUGCUGUGAGAGACCAUUAAGCAGAGGACCCAGCUAAGCUCUGCCCAGAUGCUCAAUCCACAGAAAAAGAUACUAAGUGUGUGUUGUUUUAAGCUGCUACAUUUGCAGUGGUUUGAUAUGCAGCAAUAGAUAACUGAUACUGCUGUUAAUUGCUUUCUAUUACAAUCAGCUGGAAUAACUGCCCUUGUGCCUACAAUCAGAGAUGUAUUUUGGGAUCAAUUCCCAGACCUGAGAUUGUUCAGUCUAAGGGUAAGGAUAUUUAAUGUGGAAAAAUAACACUAAAUUGUCCUCCAAAAAUAUUAUCAAGUGACAAUCAUGCAAACAGUAUGAAAGUUCCUACUUCUCUCCAUGUUCUUGCCAAAUGAAGUGUCAUUGAUCAUUGAAAAAAUAUCAGUUUGAGAAAAAUCAGUACUGCAUUGCUUUGAUUGCAUUUUCCUGAUCACUUAUCAGGGUGAGCAUCUUUUUAACGAAUCCCUUGGCCAUUUAUUUUCCUCUUUCUUUUGAGACUUCUCUCUUGAUAUUUUUAGCUUUUAUCCUAUUUUAAUUGGAUUUCAAUUGGAUUGAACAACUAGAAUGAUAGAAUGAUAUCUGGGGGGCACACAAUGGCCAUUGGUGAUGCUGCUGUUGAUUACCCAAAGUGCUAUCCCAUUUCUUCCUGUGUAUUUACUACUAUUUCUCUUGCAGUUAAUAAGCAAUUUAUGGGAAGAUUCUUUGAGACCAUUCAAAUAUCCUGCACCUCAUUAAAAUAUCCCCCUGGAUUUAGCAGCCUUUGAUGAUUCUUGCCUGAACAAAACUUUAUUAUGGUAGAUGUAAAAUGAAGAUUUUCAUUUCUAGCACUUCUUCCACAUUUACCAGCUACAUUCAGCCUUCUUGUGGAUAAGACUCUCCCCUUUCUCCCAAAUGUUUAUUGUUUUUAUUAGUAUGGACUCACGAUUUCCUGUUCUUCUCAAUGGCCUAUAAUUUAUUACUAUCUUUAAUUAUAUUAGUGCUCAAAUUUUCCCAGUUUGGCCAGUGGGAUCCCCUCCAAGUUGGCUAUUAUUUCCUUGUGACAUACCCACUUUUUCUUUCUUUCUCUUUCUUUUUCUUUCCUUUUAAAACUCACUUCUUUACUUCCUGCUCCAGCCCUGGAAUCAGCCAUUUCUCUGAAAAACUGUGGUUCUUUCAAGUGGACAAAGGUAUUAGAGACCAAAAUUUGGGCACAAGAUAUGCACUUUAACAAGGACCCACUUUAAGUGCAGUUUAGUGAAUUUGAAUGAAUGCAUGAACUUCUGUAACUACUACCACAAUCAAGAUAUAGAGUUUCUGUCACCUCUCAAAGCCUCCUUUUCUUGCUUGCUCAUAUGCAAUUACCUCUGUCCAAAAUGACCCUUUCCCUUUCCUCUACACACUUGGCAAAGCCAUGAUUGAACAUUUAUUCCUUCUUAGAUUUUGUUCCAUUUUCCUCAGCAAAGGUUCUUUGUUUCCUCUUCUUCAUGCUCACAAAAGAGAGAGUAAAAGUGCUUGCUCAACAGUUCUUCAACUGCUCUAAUAAAGAUUGAUUCUCUUACCA
Molecule: long non-coding RNA, 2145 nt
Filed under: Homo sapiens (human)
Lineage: Eukaryota; Metazoa; Chordata; Mammalia; Primates; Hominidae
Description: long independently transcribed non-coding RNA 2030, transcript variant 4 (LINC02030)
Source: RNAcentral